GGAAUAUUGCGCAAUGGGCGAAAGCCUGACGCAGCAACGCCGCGUGUGUGAUGAAGGUCUUCGGAUCGUAAAGCACUGUCGCGAGGGACGAAUAAGGGGCGGGCUAACAUCCCGUUCCGAUGACGGUACCUAGAGAGGAAGCACCGGCUAAACCGGUGCCAGCAGCCGCGGUAAUACAGAGGGUGCAAGCGUUGUUCGGAAUUAUUGGGCGUAAAGCGCGUGUAGGCGGCCUUGCAAGUUGGGUGUGAAAGCCCUCGGCUUAACCGAGGAAGUGCGCCCAAAACUACGAGGCUUGAGUACCGGAGAGGGUGGCGGAAUUCCCGGUGUAGAGGUGAAAUUCGUAGAUAUCGGGAGGAACACCAGUGGCGAAGGCGGCCACCUGGACGGCUACUGACGCUGAGACGCGAAAGCGUGGGGAGCAAAC
This 424-nucleotide ribosomal RNA is filed under the name uncultured bacterium. RNAcentral describes it as "bacterial SSU rRNA". It matches the Rfam family "Bacterial small subunit ribosomal RNA", at positions 358 to 773 of the family's 1533-position model. The record is from RNAcentral.